CAAGACAAAACAACAACAAUGAACAACAUCAUCAUCCUCAUCUGGACUGUGACUGUGAAUCAGACUCCCUCUGUUAAAACAGUUCAGAUUGGUGAAUCAGUCACUAUAAACUGCAAAACAAACUCAGCAGUGAGAGAUGUCUGUACAGGUUCAUAUACUUGUAUGGCCUGGUAUCAGCAGAAACCUGGAGAAGCUCCUAAACUCCUCAUAUAUGCUGCAACAAACCGCUACACUGGAACUCCAUCUAGAUUCAGUGGCAGUGGAUCCAGAACUGAUUUCACUCUGACCAUCAGUGGAGUCCAGACUGAAGAUACAGGAGAUUAUUACUGUCUGAGUUUACACUGGAUCAACAGUAAAAAUGUGUUCACACAGUGAUAAAGAGUCGUACAAAAACCUCCGUCAGUCAGAGUCACAGUGACUGCACUGAUACAGCUGAGAGAUACUGCA
Non-coding RNA from Cyprinus carpio (common carp), 447 nucleotides. The record is from the annotation of a RefSeq genome assembly. Lineage: Eukaryota; Metazoa; Chordata; Actinopteri; Cypriniformes; Cyprinidae.